This 253-nucleotide ribosomal RNA is filed under the name uncultured bacterium. RNAcentral's name for it is "partial 16S ribosomal RNA". It matches the Rfam family "Bacterial small subunit ribosomal RNA", at positions 524 to 776 of the family's 1533-position model. The record is from RNAcentral.
UACGUAGGGUGCAAGCGUUGUCCGGAAUUAUUGGGCGUAAAGAGCUCGUAGGCGGUUUGUCGCGUCGAAUGUGAAAACCCGCAGCUCAACUGUGGACUUGCAGUCGAUACGGGCGGACUCGAGUUCGGCAGGGGAGACUGGAAUUCCUGGUGUAGCGGUGAAAUGCGCAGAUAUCAGGAGGAACACCGGUGGCGAAGGCGGGUCUCUGGGCCGAUACUGACGCUGAGGAGCGAAAGCGUGGGGAGCGAACAGG